RNAcentral lists this long non-coding RNA (834 nucleotides) under Homo sapiens (human). Lineage: Eukaryota; Metazoa; Chordata; Mammalia; Primates; Hominidae. The record is from RNAcentral.
UGAGUGAUUUUGUGCACCUUACCUUGAAGGACACUGACUUGAAUUUCAGGGUUUUAUUGCCCUUGGUAGGGGAAGAAGUUCUGUGUAAACCUCAAUCACAACAGGCAGCCAGCCCGCUCUGAACCCAGAAACGAGAUAACAGCUCCUGCAACGAUAAACACCUGCAGAUGAAACAACUCCUGCAACGAUAAACACCUGCAGAUGAGACAACUCCUGCAACGAUAAACACCUGCAGAUGAGACAACUCCUGCAAUGAUAAAUACCUGCAGAUGAGACAGCUCCUGCAACGAUAAACACCUGCAGAUGAGACGGCUCCUGCAAGGAUAAACACCUGCAGAUGAGACGGCUCCUGCAACGAUAAACACCUGUAGAUGAGACAGCUCCUGCAACGAUAAACACCUGCAGAUAAGGUGCCGUCGGACAGGCGUCUCGGUGGACCUGCUUGGUUUUUGUUUUGUUUGUUUUUUGUUUUUUGUUUGUUUUUUUGUUUUUUGUUUGUUUGUUUGUUUGUUUGAGACAGAGUCUCCCAGGCUGGAGUGCAGUGGCUUGAUCUCGGCUCACUGCAACCUCCACCUCCCGGGCUCAAGCGAUUCUCCUGCCUCAGCCUCCCGAGUAGCUGGGAUUACAGGCGCCCGCCACCACGCCCAGCUUAAUUUUUGUAUUUUUAGUGGAGACGGGGUUUCACCGUGUUAGCCAGGAUGGUCUCAAUCUCCUGACCUCGUGAUCUGCCUGCCUCAGCCUCCCAAAGCAGGACCUGCCUGUUUUGAGGGGGAUACAAAAAGAACACAAAUCAUCUGUCCUGUAGCAGUUUGCAGCUGGCUAGGAAGAUGAAGC